Molecule: ribosomal RNA, 531 nt
Filed under: Cladophialophora bantiana
Lineage: Eukaryota; Fungi; Ascomycota; Eurotiomycetes; Chaetothyriales; Herpotrichiellaceae
Description: eukaryotic LSU rRNA
Rfam family: Eukaryotic large subunit ribosomal RNA
Source: RNAcentral
GCGGCACAGCUCAAUUUGAAUCUGGCCUCUUGGGGUCCGAGUUGUAAUUUGUAGAGGAUGUUUCGGGUACCGCCUCGGUUUAAAUUUCUUGGAACAGAAUGUCAGAGAGGGUGAGAAUCCCGUCUUGAACCGGUGGUAGGGCCUAUGUGAAACUCCUUCGACGAGUCGAGUUGUUUGGGAAUGCAGCUCCAAAUGGGUGGUAAAUUUCAUCUAAAGCUAAAUAUUGGCCAGAGACCGAUAGCGCACAAGUAGAGUGAUCGAAAGAUGAAAAGCACUUUGAAAAGAGAGUUAAACAGUAUGUGAAAUUGUUGAAAGGGAAGCGCUUACAACCAGACUUGAGCGCGGCGGUUCCCCCUUGCUUCUGCUUGGGUUACUCCGCCGUGUCCAGGCCAACAUCGGUUCUGGGGGUCGGUCAAAGGCCCUGGGAAUGUAUCUACCUACGGGUAGACUUAUAGACCAGGGUGUCAUGCGGCCUCCCGGGACCGAGGAACGCGCUCCGGCUCGGAUGUUGGCGUAAUGGUUGUCAGCGAC